GACGAACGCUGGCGGCGUGCUUAACACAUGCAAGUCGAACGGAAAGGCCCUGCUUUUGCGGGGUGCUCGAGAGGCGAACGGGUGAGUAACACGUGAGUAAACCGCACUUGACUUUGGGAUAAAUUCAGGAAACUGGGGAUAAUACCGGAGAGGAGAUCCUGCUGCACGGGGGGGGAUGGAAAGUUUCGGCGGUUGGGGAUGGACUAGAGGCUUAUCAGCUUGUUGGUGGGGUAGUGGAGUACCAAGGCUAUGACGGGUAGCCGGCCUUGGAGGGUGACCGGCCACAUGGGGACUACGGUAGGGCCCAGACUCCUACGGGAGGCAGCAGUGGGGAAUAUUGCACAACGGGCGGACGCCUGAUGCGGCAACGCCGCGUGCGGGAUGACGGCCUUCGGGUUGUAAACCGCUUUCGCCGUUGACGAAGCGUGAGUGACGGUAAUGAGUAAAGAAGCACCGGCUAACUACGUG
RNAcentral lists this ribosomal RNA (468 nucleotides) under uncultured bacterium. RNAcentral describes it as "partial 16S ribosomal RNA". It matches the Rfam family "Bacterial small subunit ribosomal RNA", at positions 28 to 507 of the family's 1533-position model. The record is from RNAcentral.